CCCUUAGAUGUUCUGGGCUGCACGCGCGCUACAAUGAUGCAUCCAACGAGUUUAUAACCUUAACCGAGAGGUUUAGGUAAUCUUUUGAGUAUGCAUCGUGAUGGGGAUAGAUUAUUGCAAUUAUUAAUCUUCAACGAGGAAUGCCUAGUAGGCACGAGUCAUCAGCUCGUGCCGAUUACGUCCCUGCCCUUUGUACACACCGCCCGUCGCUCCUACUGAUUGGGUGUUCCGGUGAAUUAUUCGGACCAUACCCAGAGCAGCUUCGGUUACUUCAGGUAUGGGAAGUUUUGUGAACCUUAUCACCUAGAGGAAGGAGAANUCGUANCA
This 327-nucleotide ribosomal RNA is filed under the name uncultured eukaryote. RNAcentral's name for it is "partial 18S ribosomal RNA". It matches the Rfam family "Eukaryotic small subunit ribosomal RNA", at positions 1470 to 1796 of the family's 1831-position model. The record is from RNAcentral.